RNAcentral lists this ribosomal RNA (440 nucleotides) under uncultured bacterium. Its description in RNAcentral is "partial 16S ribosomal RNA". It matches the Rfam family "Bacterial small subunit ribosomal RNA", at positions 338 to 795 of the family's 1533-position model. The record is from RNAcentral.
CCUACGGGUGGCAGCAGUGGGGAAUAUUGCACAAUGGGGGGAACCCUGAUGCAGCGACGCCGCGUGAGUGAAGAAGUAUUUCGGUAUGUAAAGCUCUAUCAGCAGGGAAGAACAUGACGGUACGUGACUGAGAAGCCCCGGCUAACUACGUGCCAGCAGCCGCGGUCAUACGUAGGGGGCAAGCGUUAUCCGGAUGUACUGGGUGUAAAGGGAGCGUAGACGGUUAUGCAAGUCUGAAGUGAAAGCCCCAGGCUCAACCAGGGGACUGCUUUGGAAACUGGACAACGGGAGUGCAGAAGAGGUAAGCGGAAUUCCUAGUGUAGCGGUGAAAUGCGUAGAUAUAAGGAGGAACACCAGUGGCGAAGGCGGCUUACUGGACUGUAACUGACGUUGAGGCUCGAAGGCGUGGGGAGCAAACAGGAUUAGAUACCCGAGUAGUC